AGAUUAAGUUAUUAAGGGCGCACGGUGGAUGCCUUGGCACUAGAAGCCGAUGAAGGACGUUACUAACGACGAUAUGCUUUGGGGAGCUGUAAGUAAGCUUUGAUCCAGAGAUUUCCGAAUGGGGAAACCCAGCAUGAGUUAUGUCAUGUUAUCGAUAUGUGAAUACAUAGCAUAUCAGAAGGCACACCCGGAGAACUGAAACAUCUUAGUACCCGGAGGAAGAGAAAGAAAAUUCGAUUCCCUUAGUAGCGGCGAGCGAAACGGGAAGAGCCCAAACCAACAAGCUUGCUUGUUGGGGUUGUAGGACACUCUAUACGGAGUUACAAAGGACGACAUUAGACGAAUCAUCUGGAAAGAUGAAUCAAAGAAGGUAAUAAUCCUGUAGUCGAAAAUGUUGUCUCUCUUGAGUGGAUCCUGAGUACGACGGAGCACGUGAAAUUCCGUCGGAAUCUGGGAGGACCAUCUCCUAAGGCUAAAUACUCUCUAGUGACCGAUAGUGAACCAGUACCGUGAGGGAAAGGUGAAAAGCACCCCGGAAGGGGAGUGAAAUAGAACCUGAAACCGUGUGCUUACAAGUAGUCAGAGCCCGUUAAUGGGUGAUGGCGUGCCUUUUGUAGAAUGAACCGGCGAGUUACGAUUUGAUGCAAGGUUAAGCAGUAAAUGUGGAGCCGUAGCGAAAGCGAGUCUGAAUAG
This 693-nucleotide ribosomal RNA is filed under the name Staphylococcus aureus. RNAcentral describes it as "partial 23S ribosomal RNA". It matches the Rfam family "Bacterial large subunit ribosomal RNA", at positions 1 to 690 of the family's 2925-position model. Lineage: Bacteria; Bacillati; Bacillota; Bacilli; Caryophanales; Staphylococcaceae. The record is from RNAcentral.